This 1489-nucleotide ribosomal RNA is filed under the name Enterobacter asburiae. RNAcentral describes it as "bacterial LSU rRNA". It matches the Rfam family "Bacterial large subunit ribosomal RNA", at positions 1 to 1528 of the family's 2925-position model. Lineage: Bacteria; Pseudomonadati; Pseudomonadota; Gammaproteobacteria; Enterobacterales; Enterobacteriaceae. The record is from RNAcentral.
GGGUUGUGAGGUUAAGCGACUAAGCGUACACGGUGGAUGCCCUGGCAGUCAGAGGCGAUGAAGGACGUGCUAAUCUGCGAAAAGCGCCGGCGAGGUGAUAUGAACCUUUGACCCGGCGAUGUCCGAAUGGGGAAACCCAGUGUGUUCCGACACACUAUCGUUAACUGAAUACAUAGGUUAACGAGGCGAACCGGGGGAACUGAAACAUCUAAGUACCCCGAGGAAAAGAAAUCAACCGAGAUUCCCCCAGUAGCGGCGAGCGAACGGGGAGCAGCCCAGAGUCUGAAUCAGCUUGUGUGUUAGUGGAAGCGUCUGGAAAGUCGCACGGUACAGGGUGACAGUCCCGUACACGAAAGCACACAGGUUGUGAACUCGAAGAGUAGGGCGGGACACGUGGUAUCCUGUCUGAAUAUGGGGGGACCAUCCUCCAAGGCUAAAUACUCCUGACUGACCGAUAGUGAACCAGUACCGUGAGGGAAAGGCGAAAAGAACCCCGGCGAGGGGAGUGAAAAAGAACCUGAAACCGUGUACGUACAAGCAGUGGGAGCACCUUCGUGGUGUGACUGCGUACCUUUUGUAUAAUGGGUCAGCGACUUAUAUUCUGUAGCAAGGUUAACCGUAUAGGGGAGCCGAAGGGAAACCGAGUCUUAACUGGGCGUUAAGUUGCAGGGUAUAGACCCGAAACCCGGUGAUCUAGCCAUGGGCAGGUUGAAGGUUGGGUAACACUAACUGGAGGACCGAACCGACUAAUGUUGAAAAAUUAGCGGAUGACUUGUGGCUGGGGGUGAAAGGCCAAUCAAACCGGGAGAUAGCUGGUUCUCCCCGAAAGCUAUUUAGGUAGCGCCUCGUGAACUCAUCUUCGGGGGUAGAGCACUGUUUCGGCUAGGGGGCCAUCCCGGCUUACCAACCCGAUGCAAACUACGAAUACCGAAGAAUGUUAUCACGGGAGACACACGGCGGGUGCUAACGUCCGUCGUGAAGAGGGAAACAACCCAGACCGCCAGCUAAGGUCCCAAAGUCAUGGUUAAGUGGGAAACGAUGUGGGAAGGCACAGACAGCCAGGAUGUUGGCUUAGAAGCAGCCAUCAUUUAAAGAAAGCGUAAUAGCUCACUGGUCGAGUCGGCCUGCGCGGAAGAUGUAACGGGGCUAAACCAUGCACCGAAGCUGCGGCAGCGACACUAUGUGUUGUUGGGUAGGGGAGCGUUCUGUAAGCCGUUGAAGGUGUGCUGUGAGGCAUGCUGGAGGUAUCAGAAGUGCGAAUGCUGACAUAAGUAACGAUAAAGCGGGUGAAAAGCCCGCUCGCCGGAAGACCAAGGGUUCCUGUCCAACGUUAAUCGGGGCAGGGUGAGUCGACCCCUAAGGCGAGGCCGAAAGGCGUAGUCGAUGGGAAACAGGUUAAUAUUCCUGUACUUGGUGUUACUGCGAAGGGGGGACGGAGAAGGCUAUGUUAGCCGGGCGACGGUUGUCCCGGUUUAAGCAUGUAGGCGGA